GAUGAAGAACGCAGCGAAAUGCGAUACGUAAUGUGAAUUGCAAAUUCAGUGAAUCAUCGAGUCUUUGAACGCACAUUGCGCCCCCUGGUAUUCCGGGGGGCAUGCCUGUCAGAGCGUCAUUGCUGCCCUCAAGCACGGCUUGUGUGUUGGGCCCCGUCCUCCGAUCCCGGGGGACGGGCCCGAAAGGCAGCGGCGGCACCGCGUCCGGUCCUCGAGCGUAUGGGGCUUUGUCACCCGCUCUGUAGGCCCGGCCGGCGCUUGCCGAUCAACCCAAAUUUUUUAUCCAGGUUGACCUCGGAUCAGGUAGGGAUACCCGCUGAACUUAAGCAUAUCAAUAAGCGGAGGA
This 346-nucleotide unclassified non-coding RNA is filed under the name soil metagenome. Its description in RNAcentral is "partial contains 5.8S ribosomal RNA, internal transcribed spacer 2, and large subunit ribosomal RNA". The stretch from base 1 to 119 matches the Rfam family "5.8S ribosomal RNA", at positions 35 to 154 of the family's 154-position model. The record is from RNAcentral.